Molecule: RNA transcript, 10124 nt
Organism: Triplophysa dalaica
Lineage: Eukaryota; Metazoa; Chordata; Actinopteri; Cypriniformes; Nemacheilidae
Gene name: ribonuclease inhibitor-like
Exons: 5
Source: RefSeq, a predicted model, not a curated record
GUGAAAGUUAAACUGUUAGAGCAGAAGACAUUUUAAGAAGAAAAGGAGAGAAAAUUCAGUAGAUAAACUGGUCGGGACACUGUGUUCACAAUGAAUAUCUCCAGGAAUAUAAAAAGUUCCUGUGGAGAAUCUCCUAAACCCAGCUGUGUAUCUAUGAUGAGUGAUGAAUCAAUGGAUAUUCCACUUAACUUCAGUUCAGGAGACUGUGAUGAUACAGAUGUGAGUAACACAACAGAUGGAUCAAAGUCCUUUACAGGGAAGCACAUGGAUGCUGUUUUUCAGGUAGAUGUCAUGUUAGUAUGUGUCUUGAUUUACUUUCCAAAUAGCAGGGAUAAGGGGCAUAUAGCCCCUUAAACGAAGAUUUUUCAGUACCACACUUCAAACAAAGGGGUAUGACAUUUUCCUGCAUGAUUUCCCUUAGGGGAUGUCUUUUUAACACAGAUGAAGACGUUGAAAAGACGUCUUGUGGACAUAGAUUUGCAUUGUGAGAUUUUAGUGAUUGUAAAAACUGCAGCGCAUGAGCUUGGAUAACAUUAUGUUAUCGUACACUGGUGUGAAAACAAAUAUUUAGAGAUAUUAAAGAUAUUCAGAGCUGUUGAAAAACAGAGUUGCGUCACACUCUGAUCUCGCCGCAUGGUCACGUGGUUUUGUGUGUUUAAUCUGACUUCAUAAUUUAGACAGUGCGCAUUAACAGUAAGUAUGCAUUAUAAGUUUCUCAUGCUUCCAAGAUCAUCAGUAUAUCCAAAAGUUAAAUUAUGUUAUUUCAGGACAUUAAUAAAAUAUGCACAAGACCUUUUAUUAGGGCUAUAUAAUUGAUACAUUUUAUAAUCGCUUUCCUGUAUAGAGCAUGGUGUUAGCAACACCAAGGUGAAGGGUUCAACCCAGGGAUUGCACAUACUAUAUAAUAAAUGUAUAGUAUAAUGCAAUAUAAGUCGCUUAGAAUAAAAGCGUCAGACAAAUGCAUAAAUGUAAGUCUUCAUAAAAAAUCAUUCAACAUCAGACCCUGAAGCCACUUUUAUUUAGGAACAACAUUUUAUUUUUCAUAAACAUCCUUACAAUAAAAGACCAGUUUGACAAAUUUUUGUCAGAUGUGUUCAUGAAAUACUGAAAUGAUGGAAUUUAGCCACUGUAAAUUACCCACCCUAAAACAUUGUGAGUAAUUACAUUUGUACAGGAUUUCGAGAUGGCUUUAGUUCACUUUAUAACUCAUAUUAUGAAAACGGCGACAGGCAGCGCAUUCUUCAGUUCAAAGCGCCACUGAGUGGAGUCAGUUGCGGCUCCAGACACUUUUGAUUGGGGGGGCAAUGGGGGAUCCUGGUCAUUUCAAGGGGGGUCUCAUGAAAACCCCCAAAAAAUACAGUGGACAUGGCUAAUAACUGCAUAUUACUGCUACUAAACAAAUAAAACCAGAUCCAUGCACACUGUGAAAAAAAUGACGACAGGCAAAACAAAAAGCCACGUCUUUUGACAGAAUAUUUAAGACACUGGUACUGUUUGAACCACGAGUAACUAAAACCCUUGGAUGCUAGCUGCCCCUGCGAUCCAAAAGAACGACACGGUUAUGAUUUUAAUUUAGGCUGUCUUGGUUUCUCGGCUGGGCCAUGGCUUAAAUCCCCGGUUAAAUCCUUUCCAUUUCAAAUAACGUAUGUGCAACAUUAAAUGCAAAAUGAAAAUAAAAAUUCAAUUAUAUCAAUUACAUUUGUAAUCAUAAAACCCCUGUAGGAACUCCCAAAUGUAAUUGAUAUAAUUGAAUUUUUAUUUUCAUUUUAAUGGGGGGUCAAGGCGUUUUUUGGGCGGGUCUUGAGACCCCCCAAGAGCCCCCUGGCGCCGCCGGUGAGUGGAGUCAACAUCAUAAGCCCGUUGUGUGCAUUAACGUGACAUCUGCAUCUUUGCCAUUCUUUGUUAUAAACGCAGCUUACAUAAUAUGAUAACAAUACAAGACCCUUUCCCAUCCACUGUAAGAAGUUUUGUCUACAUUCACCCCUUGUCACACUGUUAACUGUUUACCUCCAGCAAAAUAAAAGCAUCACUUCACACAUAAGACGGCAUCAUUUAGAAAACGAUCAUGAUGAUAUUGUAGCUCACAGAAAUGUGUCAUUCAUGAUGAAGUGCUGUUUUAUUUUUCUGCACCUAGUGGAGCUGAUGCUAGUUUUGAGAGCCCCAGAAUGACGACGGGCAUGUAGAGUUAUAAUUUAACCAGGUGGUGCGGCUGUCUUAUUUAUUGUUCUGCCUUCCAAGAAAACAAAAGUGUACAUAGGAGCUCUUUGACCUUUUUCAAACGCUUCGUUAUUUGUAUUAUUAAUUUAAAGCAGCCGUGCAACGGUGUUUCAUGCAUUCUGACUUAUCUACAAUAUUAAACCUGCUGUCUUCUCAUGCUUAACAUGGUCAACCUGUCAAAAAACGGGUUGACUGUAUUAUGUAGUAUUUCUGUGCUCGAUAAAGCCCCCCUCCAGCGAUCUUAUAGGUUUCGGUUCUCUUUUGUAACAACUUUUUUUAGUCCCUUAUUGGACAAUUCUCCCGGAAAAGCACGCGGCACGGCCACCGUUGAGCAGGAGAACAUGUGUAAAAACUUUUAAGCAGGUGAGAGAGAGAGAUCACACGUUGGCAUGUUCAGGUGUUUGUUGUUCACUGCAUUUUGAUGAUGAAUGUUAUAUAAACUGUGGAUAAAACACUGACUUUAAAGAUCGUUUAAAACUGAUAUAUGGAGCCGUCCCAGCGCUAACAGAUGCCUGACAUUUGGUGAGUGAAACUGAUGUCUGUGUUUUGUUGACAUGGGUGCGCACAUGCUUUGGUUCAGCCUACCCCUCCCCCCUGCAUGUGCUGUAUGUUUUCGGAAACAAUCAUAAGCUGUAUCUAUCUUUUAUAAAUGUGAUCAAACUAAAUACUCUUCGAAGUAUGCAGAACUACUCUAUAGGUACACAAGAUUAAUAUGAGAUUGGCUUUAAAACAUAUUGUGGAUGUAAUAGAUGAACACGCAGUCAUGUACAGGAAUGAGAAUUCAUGGCAGGGAAACAACAUCAUAUUGUCAAGUUAUUCCUUCCAAUACUGUAUAUAAUGACCCAGGAGUUGAUAGUGACAUAUAUUAUAUGGAUUUGUGGAUGUUAUUAUCUCAUGUUGCAGAUUCAUCGAUUAAGGCAUGGGAAUCUGAAUUGCAGAGGAUUCCGGUUCAGAAUAACACCUUUGCCUUUUUAAUAAUCAAGUGGAACUUAAGUAACUUUUGUAUCAACAGCUAUUAACUUUAAGGUCCAGAGUGUUAGCCUGGAGCAGACAGAUAACCACACUGCUCCCUCACUCUUCUCUACUCCCAAACAGACUAUGUUACUUCCCCUCCGGGAUAGAGAAAAAACACCAAAAUAAAAGUCCUUAAUGGAAUACAAAAUAAUGAAUUACCAUUUACAAAACAUAACACAAAUAUUAGAAUCUAUAACUAACUAACAAAAUUCAGUUUUUCAAUGUCUCUGUAUUUAUUAUCACAGUUAUUGAGAGGCUUCUGCCAGUGAUCAAAGCAUCCAGAACAGCUGAGUGAGUCAUUUAACUGCAGUUUAUUCACAAAUUUUCCAGGGAUUGUCAGAGACGGGAAUAGAACUUGGGUCCUAGUGGCCUAAAAUAAAACAUUACAAGGCAAAAUCUCUGACAGGGAUGUUUUAAUAUUAUCCCCUUAAUGCCAUGAUGCUAUGUUGCUGUGAGUUGCUGUUUCAAUAAGCUGCCUAAUAUACUAUACAGUCAUGGCCAAUACUUUUGGUCCAAAAGUAUUGGCUGUCACAAAAAUGUUGUGUUUAAUAUCUGCUUAAACUGUUGUGAUGUUCAUUCACAUUGUCCAUAGAUUAUUGUGCUGAGUGAUAAUGUGCAUUUUAAAUAAUAGCAAAUAAAGCAAAGAUGAGAAACUCAGAGCACUAAUAAGGCAAGAAUGGAUCCCCAUCAGUUAGGAUUUGGCACAGAAGCUAAUAUCCAGCCUAUCAGAGCGAAUUGAAGAGGUUAUGAAAAACAAGGCUGAGCACUGUAGAUAUUGACUGUUAUAUCUGCUUAAUUAUUUUUUCCAGUAAAAGUCUUUAAAACCUUUAACAUGCUUAUCAUUGCAUUCCAGAAUAGUCAUUUUGGCCAUGACUGUAAUCUACAACAACAGUUGCAAUAAAAUAAAUAGAAAAUAAAGUCAAUUUACAGCAAAAUAAUAAUACACAUUCAUAUUAUAUUGGUGAUCUGGUACCAUGGAGACCCGGGAAAAGGAAGUUUUUAGGGAAUAAAGUUAACAAUGCAGGCCUCCCACAAAAUCUUUUUUGGGAUCUUUAACUGUAUAGACAGAGUCGGUCGUAUUUUUCUGCGAAAAGCAAUCAUUCAUCAAUUACGAGACAGAAACAGAACUGGCCCUUCCAGCUGAGUCUAGUUUCCCCAUUUAUUCAUCAGUGAAAUUUGUUUCCUCACGACUGUGCCCUGUUGGCUUAUAUUAAAUUGGUUUACGGCUGUAAAUUCUGUGAACAUUGUUUUAUUAGAAUGGCCUUGCUUGUUUUGCAAUACCAUGCUAUGUACAGUCUUCAACAUGUGUGUGUGUAAUCAUGGAAAGCUCCUUUGAAACAAUGCACUUUGAACAAAGAACUAUAUAAAUAAAAUUGAAUUGAUUAAGAGGAGAGGCUAACAAGCAAAGAAAUCUAGAGAAAAAAAUUAAACAACUAUCACAUGACUUAACUUGAGACACACUGAUUCAGGACCUUUGUGAUCCAGAGGGAAAUUUACAGGCGAGAGGGCUUCACCUAAGUGCCAUCUUAAAGGAGGUUUAGACCAUAGAAUGUGCAGCGAGAAGACUGAAUUUUUUAAGCAAAAGUUAGCGAAGGACUCAGCUGUCAGGGUGUUGCAGAAGAACCCAAGUGCAGGCAGCGAUGCAAAACACAAAACUUUGACAAACAAAAGACCCACAAUGGGUAGAACUAUAACAAGAAACAAAUUUGAAAGAAAAGACUUCCCACAAGGGGGCUAAACAAGAACACAAGGUUUCCUCAAACUUAAUAGCAAAAAACAACAGAGACAAGACUGAAUAAUAUAAACAAAAUCAAGACAUGGGGCAAGUAAAUCCAACUGCAAGGUACUCUAACAAGAUGAGGGAAUUAGCACAGACAAGGCAACAUUGGAAACGAACACGCACAGGAUAGCAGAUACAAGGGCAUUAAAUAGGGAAACUAACAAAAGAUAAUUAAUAAGGGACAGGUGUCGGGAAUGAAACACUUAUGGGAAGCUAAACGAGGAAAAGAGAGGGGCGGUCCCUCUACUCACAAAACAUGAUGCUUCUGCCAUGAUCCUGUGACAAGACCAAGACAGAAAUGACAUGAUGAGGCAGAAUCAUGACAUAAGGACUUUAAUCCAUCCAUCCAUCCAUUUUCUACCGCUUAUCCGAACUACCUCGGGUCACGGGGAGCCUGCGCCUAUCUCAGUAGUCAUCGGGCAUCAAGGCAGGAUACACCCUGGAUGGAGUGCCAACCCAUCGCAGGGCACACACACUCACUCAUUCAUUCACGCACUCACACCCUACGGACAAUUUUUCCAGAGAUGCCAAUCAACCCACCAUGCAUGUCUUUGGACCAGGGGAGGAAACCGGAGUACCCGGAGGAAACCCCCGAGGCACGGGGAGAACAUGCAAACUCCACACACACAAGUCGGAAGCGGGAAGGACUUUAAUGACCCAGAUAAUUUAGUGGCGCAGUGGCUCAUACCUCUGCAGCAGCAGUCUGAAUCCCAUCUAAAAAAACAAAUAAACCCCAGUAAUCAAUCAGACUUAUAGCAUAUGUGACCCUGGACAUCAAAACCAGUUUAUAGGUACAUUUUUCGAAGUUGAGUUUUAUACAUCAUAUGAAAGCUGAAUAUAUAAGCUUUCCAUGGAUGUAUAGUUUAUUAGCAUAGGACAAUAUUUGGAUGAGAUACAACUAUUUAAAGCUGAGGGAUCUGAAAACUCUAAAACUCUGGUGCUUCCAAUUUGGUUUGUUUCCGCGCCUGAUAUGGCCAAUUUCACGCCAAUUACUUGGAGAGACUGGUGAGUGCACAAGUGAGGAAAUGACUUGGGCUACCAAGAUGCCUUAGCAACAUAGGGCUUUAUGGGAAUGGAGCGCUCUCUCUUCCAAUUUCAAGCCUUGUGAAGGAGUUAAAAUUCAUCAAUAAAGGAUAGAGAUUGCGCUCAAAGAAUCCUGUGAUCCCUGUGUAAGAGAUGCUGUUCCAACAUAAGCGACAGGGAGGAAAUGGAACCCAAUACAGCCGUUUUAGAUGCAAAGGCAGCCCUCAGACAUGAGGACAUCAGGGGACAAGUUCAACAUGGCAGAGGGGGACUUGGUGUGGAAUCAACCACACCCAAGUGGUGAAAGCGACACCAAAGGAACAGCAUCACCUGGUAGUGGAGGAGGUUCGGCGUCAAGAGGAAGCAAGUAGAUGCGCCAGAGCGGUCUUUCAAGCCCAGCAAGGCUGUAGAUGAGGUGAGACGGCAUUGAACAAUGCAAAAUCACUUGGAGUGAGCUGUGGUGUAUGGAAACAAACAGGCUAAGUUUUAUCAUAAGAGCUCCAUUUCAUGUGCCCCCUCACCAACAAAUCUGCAUGUUUUGUGUGGACAGGAUCCAGCCUGCCACCUAUGUGCAUCUCCAGCAAACUUUAAACAUAUACUUGUGGGUUGUAAGAAGAGCUUGACACUGGGGAGAUACACAUGGCACUACAACCAAGUACUAAAGUGCUUGGCUGCAGCAGUAGAGACCAAACGAGUGGCAGCAAAUGCCAUUCCCGUAAACACUGAGGCUAACUCACUAAAAAGGCCAACCUUUAUUCGGGAGGGGAAGAAACUGCAGGCCAAGCCCUUAUCCCCAGAUUCAGGUCUGCUCAGUAUAGCCAGGGAUUAGGAAUUGCGAGUUGAUUUAAAUCACUGAUUUACUUACCCCUUGGAAAACGCAGUGACCAACCUGCGGCCGGACAUGGUUCUGUGGUCCAGCACCAGUAGGACAGUCCUCAUAGUUGAGUUGACCGUAUCUUGGAAAGAUGCCAUUAAAGAAACAUAUGAAAGAAAGAUAUCCGGUAACCCAAUUUGGUAGCGGAGGCUGAAGGUCGAGAUUGACAGCGAAAGUGUUCCUGGUGGAAAUGGGCUGCAGGACUUUGUUUCCAAUUCCACCUCAAGGCUGCCUUAGAAAGUGGGAUCAGAGGACAGGCCCGACGGAUGGUAAUCAAAGAACUGUUGCUGAGAGAAGCAGCCACUGGCCACAAUAUGGGCUGCCAAAUGACCACCUAAUAAAAUGGUGUUGUGUGUUGAAAUGUUACGCCAUACUGAACCAGGGGCUCCGAGCAUGCAUUAACGGUGUCGGUGGGGCUAGAACACCCUUAGCCAAUAGGUUGGCGCGUAUGGUUGCGUUGAUUUUGGAAUUGUGUUGUAAUAGACGGGACCUGGGGCAGUGAAGCACGCAUUAACAGUGUGGGUAGUCGUGGCCUAAUGGUGACCAGAAGGUUGCCGGUUCGAUUCUCAGGGCCAGCGGGUAACAACUGGGGUGCCCUUGAGCUGCAGUGAUAGCUGCCCACUCCUCGGGGUGUAUAUGUGUUCACAGGUCCAGUGGAGGAUAAUCAAGAACUGGCCAGUGGUGCAGAAAGUAGAAGCCAAUGGCUGUGGUUUAGGUGGAUGGACACAGCAUGAUGACCUUGUAACAAUGCGACACAGACCCUCCGAGGGCCUCCCUUGGCUGAGGGUGUUUUGUGAUAAAGGGCCGAAACACCCAAUGGGAAUUUAUGGGAACCAUGCAAAGGAUAUUUUCAGCAGCACCUCACCAAAAGGCAUCUUUCACCCAGGAUAAUGGAUGUGAUGAAAGUGGGACACACAACUCAUGAGACGAUUAUGGCAGGGAAAGGUAAGUAUGCUAUGUAUUUCUAUAAUCAAUUAUCCCCAAACACAGAGGAUGCCUUCCCGACCAAACUACGUGAAACCUCAGACCUCCUCUCCUCUAGUCAUAUUCUUGACUGCUCCCCUCUCUCAUUCAUAGGGUGUGGUGGUCCUGUUGAGCAAUUCAACUGUGCUAAAAUAGUGGGAUUAUAACACCUAGACCUAUUAGGUGAAUCUGACACAGAUAAUGUUUUGUUUAACUACUGCCACAAAUAUUUCUGUGCUACUUAAGACUGGUUCUGUGAUCCAGGGCACAUAUAACUUAUAACUUUUGAAUGUUUACAGAAUGACAUUGGUAUGGAUAUGUUGGAAGAUAUUUAUUUAUUUAAUUGAUCUUUAAUUGCUGGUAAUUGCUGAUGUUGCCCUUGUGCAACUGAUUCUCAAUUCACGUCCCUUUUUACUUUUUUAGUGUAGUUGUUACUAUAUUUUAAUUCACUGUUAUCUUGUUAUUUCUCUCUCAGUCUGAGUGUAACAAAUCUCAAUAAAAUGGAAGGAAGGAGUCGGGAACCGGCAAACAUUAAACAAGUUUUAAUAUAAAUAAUAACAGCCGGCGGCCCCUCACGGACGACCGCCGGCGAACAAAACAUAAACAUAAAUACCAAUAUAAAUACAAACGUAAAACAAGUUCGGGCCCGGUCCUCUCUCUUCGACGGUCCGGUCGCUCGUUCCUUUUAUGCUCCCAUCUCCUACGUGAUUCGAGGCCGGUGUGCGCACAGCUGGCGCUAAUUCACAAUUACUCACCGGACUCGAACCACGGUCUCGCCCCGCCUACUCUACUACACUGAGUUACUGUAAUCUGACAGAGAAAAGUUGUUCAUCACUGGCAUCAGUUCUCAGAUCAAACUCCUCAAGUCUGACAGAACUGAACUCGAGUAACAAUAAACUGAAGGAUUCAGGAGUGAAGCUGCUCUCUGAUGGACUGAAGAAUACAAACUGUAAACUGAAGACACUAAAGUAAGAAAAUACCUGAAAGUGUGUCUAUUAAGGUCCUGAUAAAAGUUUAGUGUAAGAGACUCAACAGUGAGUGUCAGUCAACCUCUCUGCUUAUUUAGAUUCUAGACUAGCAGUCAAGAUCUCAUGAUUUAUACCUAUGAGAAAUGAAAAUAAAUCUACACACCUGAUGUAAAUAUAGCAUUAUAAUUUGAUUAUGGAUACACUUUAAGAAAUAGCUGUAAUUUUUACAGUAAAUAUUUAUAAUAGACCACAGUGAUUUGAAAAUUACAGUGCUAUUGUAUUUUGCUAUAAAUUGUGAGAGCAUGCUAAAUGACUGAGGUGAGUUUUGUGUACAAUACUGUAUUCUUAAAAAUGGCUAUAUUAAGUGUUUUUUUCUCUGUAGUCUGUAUGACUGCAGUAUUGGAUCUGAAGGUUGUGUUGAUCUGACUUCAGCUCUGAGAUCAAACCCCUCACAUCUGACACAACUGGAUCUGAGCAGAAAUAAUCCAGAAGAUUCAGGAGUGAAGCUGCUCUCUGAUCUACUGAAGGAUCCACACUGUCAAAUACAGACACUACUUAUUGAACCUCAUGGAUGAAAAUCACCAAGAGACAGUGGCAUUACCACAAAAGUGGCACAGGCGUGGCUUAAAAAAACGAACAGUCACCCCAACGCUUCCCAUGAAGUCACAGCUACUUGCGUAUACUACAGAUAUACGUACCUUCCAGCAGUCCAUCACUGUCCUUAAUAGAGUUGUGUAUUUCAUUUACUGAAGAUAUUUCAUACACUUUAAACUACUAGACAGUAUUUAAAAAUAACAAUGAGCAAAACACCUUAAUGUCAGAUAAAUACAUUACUGUGCACAUUUUACAUAUAGCUAAUAACAAAAAGGAUCUAUUUACUAUUGGAUAUAUAGUAUGACAUAUGUCAAUUAAGCAAUGACACAGCGUGUUGCAUGUGUCUGUCAGUUCUCUUCUUUCUCACGCAUGAAACACGGCAGUAUUUAAAGUCUGAUGUUGUUUAAUUCAAACUGAACACGUCAUUUAUCUCCUUCAGUCUUCUGUCAUUUGCGCUCAAAUGUUACAUUACUUCAGCUAACCUCUGUGUUUCUUACCAGCUAUUGCUUUCUCCGAUCAGUUUGUACUGAAUUAAAGAUUUUAUGUAUUUUGAUAUUUGAAGAUGAUGUACCUAGUGAUGUUUAGAAUAUUUUGUAUGUCACAGAAAAUGUAUGUUUGCUAAAAAAUUAAAAUGUAAUUCAUUGACUAUUCAAGGGACAGUUCACCCAAAAAUGAAAAUUCUGUCAUCAUU